This 428-nucleotide ribosomal RNA is filed under the name uncultured archaeon. RNAcentral describes it as "bacterial SSU rRNA". It matches the Rfam family "Archaeal small subunit ribosomal RNA", at positions 474 to 903 of the family's 1478-position model. The record is from RNAcentral.
UACCAGCUCUCCGAGUGGUAGGGAUGAUUAUUGGGCUUAAAGCGUCCGUAGCCGGCUUAGCAAGUCUCCUGUUAAACUCAGCGACUUAAUCGUUGAAUCGCGGGAGAUACUACUAGGCUAGGAGGCGGGAGAGGUCGACGGUACUUCUGGGGUAGGGGUGAAAUCCUAUAAUCCCGGGAGGACCACCAGUGGCGAAGGCUGUCGACUAGAACGCGCUCGACGGUGAGGGGCGAAAGCUGGGGGAGCGAACCGGAUUAGAUACCCGGGUAGUCCCAGCUGUAAACGAUGCGGGCUAGGUGUUGGGAUGGCUACGUGCCAUUUCAGUGCCGCAGGGAAGCCAUUAAGCCCGCCGCCUGGGGAGUACGGCCGCAAGGCUGAAACUUAAAGGAAUUGGCGGGGAGCACCACAAGGCGUGAAGCUUGCGGUUC